RNAcentral lists this ribosomal RNA (440 nucleotides) under uncultured bacterium. RNAcentral describes it as "partial 16S ribosomal RNA". It matches the Rfam family "Bacterial small subunit ribosomal RNA", at positions 338 to 795 of the family's 1533-position model. The record is from RNAcentral.
CCUACGGGUGGCAGCAGUGGGGAAUAUUGCACAAUGGGGGAAACCCUGAUGCAGCGACGCCGCGUGAGUGAAGAAGUAAUUCGUUAUGUAAAGCUCUAUCAGCAGGGAAGAAAAUGACGGUACCUGAGUAAGAAGCCCCGGCUAACUACGUGCCAGCAGCCGCGGUAAUACGUAUGGGGCAAGCGUUAUCCGGAUUUACUGGGUGUAAAGGGAGCGUAGACGGCAGUGCAAGCCUGAAGUGAAAGGCCGGGGCUCAACCCCCGGACUGCUUUGGGAACUGUCGGGCUGGAGUGCAGGAGAGGUAAGUGGAAUUCCUAGUGUAGCGGUGAAAUGCGUAGAUAGUAGGAGGAACACCAGUGGCGAAGGCGGCCUACUGGACUGUAACUGACGCUGAGGCUCGAAAGCGUGGGGAGCAAACAGGAUUAGAUACCCGAGUAGUC